RNAcentral lists this long non-coding RNA (297 nucleotides) under Homo sapiens (human). RNAcentral describes it as "HSALNT0373260". The record is from RNAcentral. Lineage: Eukaryota; Metazoa; Chordata; Mammalia; Primates; Hominidae.
GUCUGGAUGCUUCUAUAUUGGAAUUUCGCUCUUGUUGCCCAGGCUGGAGUGCAAUGACGAGAUCUUGGCUCACUGCAACCUCCACCUCCCAGGUUUAAGUGAUUCUCCUGCCUCAGCCUCCCAAGUAGCUGGGAUUACAGGAAGAAAAAUGGAACUAAAAAGGGAAAACAAUAGCAACAAAGAUCAAAAUAAAUAACAAGGAAGCGGAGAGAAGAAAGAACAUGGUGAAGAGAGUGAAACGCAUUGUCAUUUGGGGUGAAUUGCAGAAAGAAAUAAAUUAUUGUUCUUAUAUAUAAG